CAGAAUUAAGUGUUUGGGGAGCUCUUUUAAGUGCCUGCAAGUAUCAUGGAUAUGUUAAGAUGGGAGAACAAGUUGGAGAACAUAUCUUCAAAAUAGAUCCUGAAAAUGCUGGGUACUACGUUUCUUUAUUCAACAUAUAUGCAGCUGAUGGAAGGUGGAGUGACGCAAUGGAUGUUAGGAGAAUGUUUGACAAUAGAAUGUUAAGAAAAGCCCCAGGUUAUAGCCUAAUUGAUGUUUGUUCAGGGUGAAAACCCAACCAAUAAGCAUUUGAUGUUUAAGAAAGAAAGAUAUACUAAUACCUGAUCAAGUGUUCUUACUCUGGCUUGGGCAAUUUCAGCAGUACAUUCCAUGACUGCAUGAUAUAGCUGCUGCUUUGACCCAAUGGAGAAUAGACCCCAAAAAUGUUCAUCACCAGUAAACUCUAUGAUUACCUUGUGUGCAAUAGCUUGAUUCUAUUCGUUCACACUCCCUCUCCAACUACCACUGGCAAAACAUUUCCAAUCAAAUUUGACACGUCGUUAUAUACCGUUCUCCCCUUUCCCUCAACUAAACCAUAACAUGCUACAAUAAUGUGUAUCACAUUCUUCCAUUGCUGUUGCGAUGACCUUCCAAACGUGUGCUGAGAAGGCUUCAAGUUUUAUUCUCUCUUCCCCAUUAUAGAUCUUACAGUUUGGAAACCAUUAACAGAAAUUGUCAUAAGUCAUUGGUGGUGUGUUCAACCAUUACAUUGACAAUUCAUUUUAUUUAUGUUUUUCAGAUGGCAGACAGCCAAAUGUAUGCACUAUUAAUUGUAAACAACACAAAUUUAUUGAUAAUUUGUGAUGAUGUACACAUGUUGGCACAAUUCAAUGGCCUAUCAACUCUAAUGAAGCCAUUUUUCAAAAGGUUGCAAUUGGUUGAUUUUCAUUUGGUUCUCCUCAGAUAUCUCAGGUUCAGUGUCACCUCAUAGCUACUCCUUGCCUGAAUACCGGCCGACAUACCAACCAAUAAGCAUAUGAUGUUUAAGACCAAAAACAAAUGAACACUCAUGUGAAGCAAGAUAUACUAAAAAAUAAAAAUACCUGAGCAAGUGUUGUUAACAGUUACCUGAUCAGUUACCCAACCAAGAUAUAUGUUUACGUACAGUUCAUUGAGCAGUAGGUCUAACUGUAUUUAAAUAUAUAUCUAAAGUAGGCGUUUUGGAUUCCGGCCAAGAUUGUUGAUUUCAAUUCACUCUAAUAUCUCAGUAAACUGAUCAAGCAAUUUGAAAUGUUGAACAGAACAUGCUUUUCUAUCCAUGGAAUUUGAAAAGUUAUGUGACCACAUUUAUCCUAAAUAUUUAUCUUGAAAGGUCGCCCUUCUUCAUGUCAGAGAUUAGGAAGGACAUCACAAAG
RNAcentral lists this long non-coding RNA (1373 nucleotides) under Aquilegia coerulea. RNAcentral's name for it is "long non-coding RNA (ACOE_LNC001122)". Lineage: Eukaryota; Viridiplantae; Streptophyta; Magnoliopsida; Ranunculales; Ranunculaceae. The record is from RNAcentral.